GUCCAAGACCCACAGCAGAGUCGAGUCAAAAAGAAUGGCUCUGGAGCUGAGAGAUGCUCCUUCAGUAGCCAGCACAAGGAGCAAAACUUGCUUUUCCCAUUGGCUUGGCUUCCUGUAUCACCUCCAGAAAGUAGAGAUUCCACAAGUUUCCUGAUUCUUGAGCUUGCUUGAUCUAGAGAAGAUGAAGAAAUGGCCCACACCACAGCAUGCUCUGGAGAUCAUUAAUCAAAAGGUUGACAGUGAGCUGUCUUGGAGGAUAGGCCCAUGUUGGAUUCUCUCUCUUCACUGGCACCUGGUACGUGGCAAGGCUAACAACUCCUUAUGUACUCACUGCCUGAACCAUAGACUCAAACUCAAACCCCUUGUGCAGUAUCAGAUCUCUUCAAUAGCUUUGUUUAUAUAUAUAUGUGCGAGGGCGUGUAUGCAUGUAUUUUUUCUUUCAAAACUAUUCCUAUAUCUAUCCAUACGAUGGAACAUUAUUCAGCCUCAAAAAGGAAUGAAGUUCUGACACGUUACAAAAUGCAUGAACCUUGAAGAUAUUAUGCUAAGUGAAAGAAGCCAGUCACAAAAGGACAGAUACUGUAUGAUUCCACUUACAUGAAGCCCCUAGAGUAGGCACACCCAUAGAGCCAGAAAGUAGAAGGGUGGUUG
RNAcentral lists this long non-coding RNA (651 nucleotides) under Equus asinus (donkey). RNAcentral's name for it is "lncRNA (ENSEASG00005024003.1)". The record is from RNAcentral. Lineage: Eukaryota; Metazoa; Chordata; Mammalia; Perissodactyla; Equidae.